This 422-nucleotide ribosomal RNA is filed under the name uncultured bacterium. RNAcentral describes it as "partial 16S ribosomal RNA". It matches the Rfam family "Bacterial small subunit ribosomal RNA", at positions 361 to 775 of the family's 1533-position model. The record is from RNAcentral.
AUUUUGGACAAUGGGGGAAACCCUGAUCCAGCCAUCCCGCGUGUAGGAUGAAGGCCUUCGGGUUGUAAAGUACAUUUGGUAGAGAAGAAAAGGUAGCUCCUAAUACGAGGUACUGCUGACGGUAGCUGCAGAAUAAGCACCGGCUAACUAUGUGCUAGCAGCCGCGGUAAUACGUAGGGUGCAAGCGUUAGUCGGAAUUACUGGGAGUAAAGCGUAUGUAGGCGGUUCGGAAAGGAGGAUGUGAAAUCCAAGGGCUCAACCUUGGAACUGCAUUUUUAACUGCCGAGCUAGAGUAUGUCAGAGGGGGGUAGAAUUCCACGUGUAGCAGUGAAAUGCGUAGAUAUGUGGAGGAAUACCGAUGGCGAAGGCAGCCCCCUGGGAUAAUACUGACGCCCAGACACGAAAGCGUGGGGGGCAAACAG